Ornithodoros turicata is the source of this 2669-nucleotide long non-coding RNA. RefSeq lists it as uncharacterized. The record is from RefSeq and is a predicted model, not a curated record. The transcript has 3 exons. NCBI's taxonomy places the organism in Eukaryota, Metazoa, Arthropoda, Arachnida, Ixodida, Argasidae.
CAACAGGAUUUUUUGUCGUACGACAGACACUUCUGUCGUCACUACAGAAAUUUCCGUCGUCAUGACAGAACUUUUGUCGUAACUACAGAACAAGUCUGUAGUUACGACAGAGGCGCCUGUCGUAACGACAAGCACUUUUGUCGUGUGACGUACACGUUUGUCGUCACGACAGACUGUUCUGUCGUUACAACAGGCGGUCUUGUUGUAACUACAAAAAAGUCUGUAGUAACGACAGGAAUGGAUGCUCUACAACAAGCAGCUUUGUCGUACGACAGACAUAUUUCCCGUCCCCGCAGAUAGUCGAUCUCGCUGUGGCGACAUGGUUCUUGUCGUGCGAUAAACAGCAUGGGAAAGCGGCACCUAGUAAAAAACAAGAAAGGAAAAAAAAAACACGAAGUGACAGCUGUUAUGUUGUUAUUAUUGCUGUUAUUAUAUUAUUAUUGAUGUUGUUAUAAUUGCUGUUCUUAUUGGUAGCUUGGUGUGUCGUCACAUUUGUUUGCUGGUGCACGGCUCUGGGUGCCGCGGUAACAGCUGAGUUGCCGACAAUGGUUUGAGGGCACGGGCUUACCAGCAUCCUCUCUCACAAAAUGACGUGCACUACAUCUAUGCUUGACGACAGCACAAAAUGAAAAAAAGAAAAGGACAAAAACAGCAAGUACCGGCACCAAAAACAGCGUCGCCGAUACACUUGAAAUCGCAUUUCGUGCGCGUUACUCUGGCCAUGUUGCAAGACAGUCAACCAAGAAAUUUAGAGAAAAAAGACAAAUAUGACAAAAUGUGAGCAAGAAAUGUUCCUUUACUGAACAGUUACUUUUUAAGUACAACGAAACAAGGAAAACUUGACACGUGGUUUUCCUGAAAAUAACUCGAUGGACGUAAGAAAUCUUCCAAAAUUCGAUUAGUUAUGUGCUAGGAAAGUUUGUAAUAAUUUAGUUCUUAUUAUUUUAAUGUACUGGUCCUUUUUACGCCUCACGCGCACAUUAAUUCGUAAUGGUUAUUUCCUCUCCGUGUGGCUUCCGAUGACGACUAACAUAGCGCGCCACCUGUACGCGUAGUAGGCCUGAUCCUGAUUCUGUUUCUGGCAGUUUCUGAACAUGACGGCGCCAUUACUAUUUGUGUCGGUCGGUGCUGUUCCCUUCGUUGGCAAGUUUGCAGUUAUGUUCCUGUUUAUUCGAUGUGAGAACGAAUCGGAAAAGCACAUCGUCAAGCACAAUAUCAUUGUGAACUUCCACGCAAUAGAAUACUACGACAAACGAAACUUUUUCGGGGCAUUUUGGAAUGCGACGAGACGACACAUGUUACACGACAGAAACAAGGCAGGAUGAAUGAGCGGCGUUGAAGGAGAUGUAAAGUGGAUCUCGAGCCACUUGCAGAAGAAAAAAAGGCAAAGCAGGGCAAACAAGCACUGCACGAAGGCAUGCAGAAGAAGGCACUGUUUCUGCCCAUGGAUUCCGCGAAAAUCAGUGAACAAAGACAACGAGAGUUCGAAGACAUGGGACGUUUGCAGACAGAAGUGGCAACGCUGGCGCAUAUUAAUCGUAUCCUGCAAAAGGCCAUCGCUUCAAAAGUUUUUCAAAGUGGUAAGGAGAACUUUGCGUAUGUAUGCUAGCUGCGCCAACUUGUUUGUUUUCAACUUUAUUGAUGAAUGUACAUGUGGUCUUUAUUCAGAAGUGAUUUUUAUGAUGCAGUUUUGAUGUCUUCCUGCAUGUUGCACUUACUGGUGGGGUGAAUACUUUUGGGCAAAUUUUGUGAAUAUAUAUAUAUGAUUAGCAUUCUUUGUCUGUCAGAGAGCAUCGAGAUAACUUUCAAAGCGAAGUGUACAUGCACUAGAGGUACAUACAUGCACCAUGUCACACUGUUGCUCCGCUCUAACGGGUGCUGUUGACCAGAUAUGACUGUCUUUUUGUGACUGCGACCUUUUUUUGUUUUUCGUUUUCUUACUAGCAAUAAAUACUGAAGCCAUGAAUGAGAAAGAUGCUCGAUUACUUGUGCCAGUGUGUUGAAGUGUCAUUUCUGCUAAAUUUGACAGGACAAUAAUUUGUCGCAACUUUUAGUAACAAAUGUCAGAGGUAAGAAUUACACGGUUACAAACAUCUGAUAGUAAAAACAAAAAGCUUGUGCAGUAGGCUCCAUAUCACACUUUUUAAAAGUAUUGUAAAUGCUUGUGAGCUCCUUAUGUUUUGAACAGUAAUAAUUCAGAGUGCAUGUGUUCAGGGUUUCAGAAAUAUGAAAUGGACAAAAAAAGUUUUUUUACAAGUAGUUCACCGGGGGUUAAAGCGUCAUGUACUGUAACUACAAGCCCAAUUAUGCUUUCUAUUAACUAGAAACUACUUUGACAGAUUCCGAUAAGACCUGUUUGAGCACCUCUCCACUCUGUCUCUCUAGCAGCCAUGACAAAAACGGUACCAGAUGAUUGGAAUGUCCUCGCAUUUUUAUAAUUUUGUGUACUGUCAAGGUCUAGCUUUUUUCGUAGUUUGCAUGCGUAGAAUUGCAUAUGAAAGAUAUACGAAUAUGAUGCUUAACAAAUGCUGUCAUAUUAUGACACUGAUAUAGUCUUUUUUUUUCUUUCGUACAGGCUACAAGAGGCCCCAUACAUACUGCUACAGUGAACAGUGCAUGUAUGAGUUUUGUAAGUGUACAGACAAUAAAUAGAUGUACUCUUCUUCAUA